Molecule: non-coding RNA, 10222 nt
Organism: Xyrichtys novacula (pearly razorfish)
Lineage: Eukaryota; Metazoa; Chordata; Actinopteri; Labriformes; Labridae
Source: the annotation of a GenBank genome assembly
CAAGGUCCAAAGAUGGUGUGCGCACUUGUCUGUGGUCAUUUCCCAUUAUAAUGAAUGGGAGGCGCAGUUUCUACCAAAACGCUCGCUGCAGAAAAACUCCAUGUCUUAUUUGAAAAAAGUCUGGACCAUGAGUGAGGGCACAAACACAGCUAGGAUAUAUCCAAAUGGCAAGUUGCUCCUCCUUUCGGUUUUGCCGAGAGAGCGAUGCGUUUAAGCCAUUGAGCGAUGGGCAGGAACAACCUGACUUUUUCUCCGGCCACGGGGGGGCGCUCUUUUGGGGAGUAAAAAUUCCUUCACAAUUGUGUUGAUGGCUGAACAUUGCAUUAUCCUAGAAAACUUGGAGGCCAGUGAGGACAAAAAUAAAAAGUUAUAAGACUUUUGAAAAUGUGGAUUUUUGGGUUAUCUUUGGCGCCCCCUAGAACGUAAACAGUGGGGUGCAGCAUCAUGAUUUUUACAACUUUGAAUGGCCAUGGGGUGUAGAUUGGCCUGAGCAAAUUUGGUGCCGAUGGGACGAAAGCUUUAGGAGUUAGCGAAAUUCCAAUGUGUGCGGAUCGGCAAAAAAUGCAAAAUAGCCCUUUAACCGUACAUUUGACAGAUACGCGUGCAUUGAGUUUUUCGUAGAUCUUAUUGAGAUACAUGUGUGUGUCAAUUUUUGUGUCAUUUUGCCAAAGCGUACAGGCGUGACACUCAACAAUGUGUAUUUUCACCUUAGGGGACAAGAAAAAAUGGACUUUUUUCUCCUGCCAUGGGGGGGCGCUCUUUUGGGGAGUAAAAAUUCCUUCACAAAUGUGUUGAUGGCUGGACAUUGCAUCAUCCUAGAAAACUUGGAGGCCAGUGAGGGCAAAAAUAAAAAGUUAUAAGACUUUUAAAUAUGUGGAUUUUAGGGUUAUCUUUGGCGCCCCCAUGAACAUAAAACGUGGGGUGCAGCGUCAUGAUUUGAAUAACUUUUAAUGGCCAUGGGGUGUAGAUUGGCCUGAGCAAAUGUGGUGCCGGUGGAACGAAAGCCUUCGGAGGAGUUAGCGAAAUUCCAAUUUGUGCGGAUCGGCAAAAAAUGCGGAAUAACCCUUUAACCGUACAUUUGACAGAUACGCCCGCACUGACUUUUUUGUAGAUCUUAUUGAGAUACACAUGUGUGUCAAUUUUUGUGUCAUUUUGACAAAGCGUACAGGUGUGACUGUCAAUAGUGUGAAUUUUCACCUUAGGGGGCGCUAUGGAGCCAUUUUGCAUUUUAUUGUUUGGGCGACUUCAGAAUAUCAAAUUUUUCACCAGGCCCGGUCGUCCUGCCAAAUUUCAUGAGUUUUUGCCAGUGGGAAGUGGGCCAUUUUCCAGUUCAAAGGGGAGGAAAAAUAAGAAACUUGGGCCCCGUUGGGGCACUGGCGGGCCCGAGCUGUGUCGCGCCCCCCCCCCCCCCCCAACGCGCUGCCUCCCCGUCCCAUUCGGGUCCUCUGGCCAUCGCCCUCUCUGGUAACGCCCAUCACUGCAAAGACCCUUUUCCUUCAUCGGUGUUUGCUGUUCUUCCUGCCAGUGCGUGUUGCUUUCACUAACACUUGCAACAGCCAGCCUCGUGAGUGCCUAGCCUAUUGGAUAUCACUGUCACCUACACAGGACAGUCAUUACCUUUCUAUUAAUACUUUGUUUUUAAUUCCACAUUAAUUUCCAUAUUGUAUAAAUGACUGGAAAAAACUUGAGCCCCUGCCCCUGUAUUAUCAUGUGCACGUCCCUGUUGUAGCUCCAAGGUGAAUCUUCACUGCUCAUGUUCUCCUCAGAAGCAGUCACCUCACUCCCCUCAGGUUACUGUACACAUGCACCAACUGCCUGCUUCAGGUUUGGAUGGAGCUUCAUGGUUGUCUUUUGGAGAAAUGACCAGUCAAGUUGUGUUUGAAAUCUGAUUUUUUUCAGGGGCAAAAGGAGCCUCUGCAUUCUUGUCAAAUAUGUUAAUAACAUGUUUUUGCAGGUGCUAAAAAAAAGACUCUGAGUGUGUGUGUGUGUGUGUGUGUGUGUGUGUGUGUGUGUGUGUGUGUGUGUGUGUGUGUGUGUGUGUGUGUGUCCUGCAGUACUCUGAGAAGAAUAAUAAGCAUAUUUCUGAGGUGAAUUUUGAAGAUUCAUCUGAGAGUUAGGAGGGCUGAUCAUUCCCUUACCCUUUAGAUGUCUGUCUAUGUCUGUUUUUGUGUGAUAAUGAAAGAAUCCCAACUCAAAAAGGCUCUGUUGAUCUUUUUUUGUUGUUGUUCAUUCAUAUUCAAACCACUAUUUUAUAUCACUGCUAAUACGCCAAGACCAUUUUAUGGUAUUUAGCUUUAUUAUUUCUAUACAUUUUGCAAGGAAAGAAACCAAGGCCUUCACUAAAAUUUCCAUAAACUUUAGGAAAGGACCUCUGGUUGUUUAAGGGGGUCAUUACUGCAAAAACAUAUUCUUCCUAAAUUUUGAAGGUAAAAGCUUAGAUCCAUUAGGUUUAAAUAGAAAAAGCAUUUAAAUAUGUUAGGAUUAUAGCAUAUGACAAAUGUGUGCCUCUCAGUGGCCAUAACUACUUUGUCUGCUGGCUCUGCAGUCGAUUGCCGUUCCCCAGCGUUCAAGUCACAUGACAUAUUUAACCGGAUGUAGCUGCAAGACGGAGCCUCGUUGAUUCUCCUAUCUUAAAAGUGAGGACCUCAAACUAUAUACCAGUUUUUAAAUUGUGUUGAUAGGCCAAAUAAAACCAGAGUUAUGAUAAAUUAUGUCCGCGAUACUUUUUUUCUGCUUAUUUUGAUCACGUUCGGCGCUCGAUCGCGCUGUAUGAGACAGGAAAACAUAGCAUGCAGACAUUAGCGACAGCUCUUACAGGCGGAAAAGACUUGCCAAAAGAAAAGAAAAAAACACACCACAACAUCUCUCCUAUUGGUGGAAAACUUCACCACAACAACCAAUCCAAAAUUAUAUGGUGACUGAUUGACACGGGACGGGCGCUCGUGUUCUUCCUGCAACUUGAGAAGGGAGGGAGGGACUCUCAGCAGGGAUGCAGUCUGGGACACGUAGUUGCAAACCUAGCGACUUUGUUGUUAGAUUCAAUGACUUUUCAGACCCCCUAAUGACUUUUUUUUUGAAAGAAAGGGACUUUUAUCGACUUCUUCUGGAGUUCUGGAGUUUAGAGACUCUGACAUGAAGCAGGCUUUCCUUACUGAGGAGUUAGCAACGCUGCUAAGGGUGCAGAGCCACACAUGCGCUCCGAGCUCUGCAUGGGAGACUGAAGCUGACAGAGCUGCAGCAGUUAGCAGGUUUCACCCUCAGAGACCACCAGGGGUUCAUGUUGAGGCAUUUUCAGUUUUUUUUUUUUUUUUUGCCAUAGACACUGUCAGCACAAUCUGCAGUUACACUAACAAAAAUGCUGCAAAAAACAAUGAAUUAUGGAAAAAUUACACAUGGACUAACAUAGAGGAGGAUCUACACAAGUUUUUUACAUCAUGUUUUACAUCAUGCAUCAUUUACAUCAUGUUUUUUUGUAGUGGCAUAAAUAAAAAGUGACAUUUGUGAGACUAUACAGUGUUUUGUAAAUAAUUUUACAAAGAACGCCUGGGCCAUUGCCUGCAUUUUGAUGUAAAUAGAGGUAAAUUACUAUGUUCUUUGUUAAAAAUUUGCAUAUGUUUUGAAGUUUACAAUUUUUAUUUGAAGUUUAAGUUUUAAAAACAGUUCAUCACACAUAUUUGUGGUUUAAUUUCACAUUAAUUUCCAUAUUGUAUAAAUGACUGGAAAAAACUUGAGCCCCUGCCCCUGUAUAAUCAUGUGCACGUCCCUGUUCUAGCUCCAAGGUGAAUCUUCACUGCUCAUGUUCUCCUCAGAAAUAGUCACCUCACUCCCCUCAGGUUACUGUACACAUGCACCAACUAUCUGCUUCAGGUUUGGAUGGAGCUUCAUGGUUGUCUUUUGGAGAAAUGAACAGUCAAGUUGUGUUUGAAAUCUGAUUUUUUUCAGGGGCAAAAGGAAGCCUCUGCAUUCUUGUCAAAUAUGUAAACAGCAUGUUUUUGCAGGUGCUAAAAAACAGACUCUGAGUGUGUGUGUGUGUGUGUGUGUGUGUGUGUGUGUGUGUGUGUGUGUGUGUGUGUGUGUGUGUAUGUGUGUGUAUCCUGCAGUACUCUGUACUCCUGCAGUGGCCAAAAAGACUUUUAAGAAUGUGGAUUUUUGGGUCAUCUUUGGCGCCCCCUAGAACUGCAGUACUCUGUACUCCUGCAGUGGCCAAAAUGACUUUUAAGAAUGUGGAUUUUUGUGUCAUCUUUGGCGCCCCCUAGAACGUAAACCGUGGGGUGCAGCGUCAUGAUUUUUACAACUUUGAAUGGGCAUGGGGUGUAGAUUGCCCUGAGCAAAUUUGGUAUCGGUGGGACGAAAGCCUUAGGAGGAGAUAGCCACAUUCCAAUGUGUGCGAAUCGGCAAAAAAUGCGAAAUAGCCCUUUAACCGUACAUUAUACAGAUACGCGCUUUUUGACUUUUUCGUAGAUCUAAUUGAGAUACACAUGAUUGUCAAUUUUUGUGUCAAUAUGACAAAGCGUUCAGGCGUGACACUCAACAAUGUGUAUUUUCAUGUAAGGGGACAAGAAAAAAUUGACUUUUUUCUCCUGCCAUGGGGGGGCGCUCUUUUGGGGAGUAAAAAUUCCUUCACAAAUGUGUUGAUGGCUGGACAUUGCAUCAUCCUAGAAAACUUGGAGGGCAGUGAGGACAAAAAUAAAAAGUUAUAAGACUUUUAAGAAUGUGGAUUUUGGGUUAUCUUUGGCGCCCCCUAGAACGUAAACCGUGGGGUGCAGCGUCAUGAUUUGUACAACUUUUAAUGGCCAUGGGGGGUAGAUUGGCCUGCGCAAAUGUGGUGCCGGUCGAACGAAAGCCUUCGGAGGAGUUAGCGAAAUUCCAAUGUGUGCAGAUCUGCAAAAAAUGCAAAAUAACCCAUUAACCGUACAUUUGACAGAUACGCCCGCACUGACUUUUUUGUAGAUCUUAUUGAGAUACAUGUGUGUGUCAAUUUUUGUGUCAAUAUGACAAAGCGUACAGCCGUCAUGUGAAUUUUCACCUUAGGGGGCGCUAUGGAGCCAUUUUGCAUUUGAUUGUUUGGGCGACUUCAGAAUAUCGAAUUUUUCACCAGGCCCGGUCGUCCUGCCAAAUUUCCUGAGUUUUCGCCAGUGGGAAGUGGGCCAUUUUCCAGUUUAAAGCGGAGGAAAAAUAAUAACGAAAGAAGGAAACAUGCAGGAACAAGAGGGCUCUCGCAGCUGCUUAGCAGCUACGCUCGGGCCCUAACUAGGACCCCGGUGGGGCACUGUCGGGCCCGAGCCGCGUUGCGCCGCCCCCAGCGCGACCGCCUCCCCCUCCCGAUCGCGUCACACUCAAGGUCCAAAGAUGGUGUGCGCACUUGUCUGUGGUCAUUUCCCAUUAUAAUGAAUGGGAGGCGCAGUUUCUACUAAAACACUCGCUGCAGACAAACAACAUGUCCUAUUUGAAAAAAGUCUGGACCAUGAGUGAGGGCACAAACACAGCUAGGAUAUAUCCAAACGGCAAGUUGCUCCUCGUUACGGUGUUGCCGGGAGAGUGAUGCGAUUGAGCCAUUGAGUGAUGGGCAGGAAAAACUUGACUGUUUCUCCUGCCAUGGGGGAUGGGGGAUGGGGGGGAUGUGGAUUAUUUUAAGAAUGUGGAUAUUUGGGUCAUCUUUGGCGCCCCCUAGAACGUAAACCGUGGGGUGCAGCGUCAUGAUUUUUACAACUUUGAAUGGCCAUGGGGUGUAGAUUGGCCUGAGCAAAUUUGGUGUCAGUGGGACGAAAUCCUUAGGAGGAGUUAGCCACAUUCCAAUGUGUGCGAAUCGGCAAAAAAUGCAAAAUAGCCCUUUAACCGUACAUUUUACAGAUACGCGCGCAUUGACUUUUUGUAGAUCUUAUUGAGAUACAUGUGAUUGUCAAAUUUUGUGUCAAUAUGACAAAGCGUACAGGUAUGACAGUCAACAAUGUGUUUUUUCACCUUAUGGGACAAGAAAAAAUGGACUUUUUUUUCUCCUGCCAUGGGGGGGCGCUCUUUUGGGGAGUAAAAAUUCCUUCACAAAUGUGUUGAUGGCUGGACAUUGCAUAAUCCUAGAAAACUUGGAGGCCAGUGAGGACAAAAAUAAAAAGUUAUAAGACUUUUAAAUAUGUGGAUUUUUGGGUUAUCUUUGGCGCCCCCUAGAACCUAAACCAUGGGGUGCAGCGUCAUGAUUUGAAUAACUUUUAAUGGCCAUGGGGUGUAGAUUGGCCUGAGCAAAUGUGGUGCCGGUGGAACGAAAGCCUUAGGAGGAGUUAGCCACAUUCCAAUGUGUGCGGAUCGGCAAAAAAUGCGGAAUAACCCUUUAACCGUACAUUUGACAGAUACGCGCGCAUUGACUUUUUCGUAGAUCUUAUUGAGUUACAUGUGUGUGUCAAUUUUUGUGUCAUUUUGACAAAGCGUAUAGGCGUGACACUCAACAAUGUGUAUUUUCACCUUAGGGGACAAGAAAAAAUGGACUUUUUUCUCCUGCCAUGGGGGGCGCUCUUUUGGGGAGUAAAAAUUCCUUCACAAAUGUGUUGAUGGCUGGACAUUGCAUCAUCCUAGAAAACUUGGAGGCCAGUGAGGACAAAAAUAAAAAGUUAUAAGACUUUUAAAUAUGUGGAUUUUAGUGUUAUCUUUGGCGCCCCCUAGAACCUAAACCUUGGGGUGCAGCGUCAUGAUUUUGAUAACUUUUAAUGGCCACGGGGUGUAGAUUGGCCUGAGCAAAUGUGGUGCCGGUGGAACGAAAGCCUUCGGAGGAGUUAGCGAAAUUCCAAUGUGUGCGGAUCGGCAAAAAAUGCGAAAUAACCCUUUAACCGUAAUUUUGACAGAUACGGCCGCACUGACUUUUUUGUAGAUCUUAUUGAGAUACAUAUGUGUGUCAAUUUUUGUGUCAAUAUGACAAAGCGUACAGGCGUGACAGUCAAUAGUGUGAAUUUCCACCUUAGGGGGCGCUAUGGAGCCAUUUUGCAUUUUAUUGUUUGGGCGACUUCAGAAUAUGGAAUUUUUCACCAGGCCCGGUCGUCCUGCCAAAUUUCCUGAGUUUUCGCCAGUGGGAAGUGGGCCAUUUUCCAGUUCAAAGGGGAGGAAAAAGAAGAAAGAAAGAAAGAACUAGGGCCCCGUUGGGGCACUGGCGGGCCCGAGCCGUGUCACGCCGCCCCAAGCGCGACCGCCUCCCCCACCCGAUCGCGUCACACUCAAGGUCCAAAGAUGGUGUGCGCACUUGUUUGUGGUCAUUUACCAUUAUAAUGAAUGGGAGGCGCAGUUUCUACCAAAACGCUCGCUGCAGAAAAACUCCAUGUCCUAUUUGAAAAAAGUCUGGACCAUGAGUGAGGGCACAAACACAGCUAAUAUAUAUCCAAAUGGCAAGUUGCUCCUCCUUUCGCUUUUGCCGAGAGAGCAGUGCGUUUGAGCCAUUGAAUGAUGAACAGGAAAAACUUGACUUUAUUCUCCUGCCAUGGGGGGCGCUCUUUUAAAGAGAAAAAACUCCUUCACAAAUGUGUUGAUGGCUGGACAUUGCAUCAUCCUAGAAAACAUGGAGGCCAGUGAGGACAAAAAUAAAAAGUUAUAAGACUUUUAAAUAUGUGGAUUUUAGGGUUAUAUUUGGCGCCCCCUAGAACCUAAACCGUGGGGUGCAGCGUCAUGAUUUGAAUAACUUUUAAUGGCCAUGGGGUGUAGAUUGGCCUGAGCAAAUGUGGUGCCGGUGGAACGAAAGCCUUCGGAGGAAUUAGCGAAAUUCCAAUGUGUGCGAAUCUGCAAAAAAUGCGAAAUAACCCUUUAACCGUACAUUUUACAGAUACGUGGCCAUUGACUUUUUCGAAGAUCUUAUUGAAAUACACGUGUAUGUAAAAUUUUGUGUCAAUACGACAAAACAUACAGGCGUAGCACUCAACAAUGUGUAUUUUCACCUUAGUGGACAAGAAAAAAUUGACUUUUUUCUCCUGCCAUGGGGGGGCGCUCUUUUGGCGAGUAAAAAUUCCUUCACAAAUGUGUUGAUGGCUGGACAUUGCAUCAUCCUAGAAAACUUGGAGGCCAGUGGGGACAAAAAUAAAAAGUUAUAAGACUUUUAAAUAUGUGGAUUUUACGGUUAUCUUUGGCGCCCCCUAGAACCUAAACCGUGGGGUGCAGCAUCAUGAUUUGAAUAACUUUUAAUGGCCAUGGGGUGUAGAUUGGCCUGAGCAAAUGUGGUGCCGGUGGAACGAAAGCCUUCGGAGGAGUUAGCGAAAUUCCAAUGUGUGCGGAUCGGCAAAAAAUGCGGAAUAACCCUUUAACCGUACAUUUGACAGAUACGCGCGCAUUGACUUUUUCGUAGAUCUUAUUGAGAUACAUGUGUGUGUCAAUUUUUGUGUCAUUUUGCCAAAGCGUACAGGUGUUACACUCAACAAUGUGUAUUUUCACCUUAGGGGACAAGAAAAAAUGGACUUUUUUCUCCGGCCAUGGGGGGGCGCUCUUUUGGGGAGUAAAAAUUCCUUCACAAAUGUGUUGAUGGCUGGACAUUGCAUCAUCCUAGAAAACUUGGAGGCCAGUGAGGGCAAAAAUAAAAAGUUAUAAGACUUUUAAAUAUGUGGAUCUUAGGGUUAUCUUUGGCGCCCCCUAGAACCUAAACCGUGGGGUGCAGCGUCAUGAUUUGAAUAACUUUUAAUGGCCAUGGGGUGUAGAUUGGCCUGAGCAAAUGUGGUGCCGGUGGAACGAAAGCCUUCGGAGGAGUUAGCGAAAUUCCAAUGUGUGCGGAUCGGCAAAAAAUGCGAAAUAACCCUUUAACCGUACAUUUGACAGAUACGCCCGCACUGACUUUUUUGUAGAUCUUAUUGAGAUACAUGUGUGUGUCAAUUUUUGUGUCAUUUUGACAAAGCGUACAGGCGUGACAGUGAAUAGUGUGAAUUUUCACCUUAGGGGGCGCUAUGGAGCCAUUUUGCAUUUUCUUGUUUGGGCGACUUCGGAAUAUCAAAUUUUUCACCAGGCCCGGUCGUCCUGCCAAAUUUCAUGAGUUUUCGCCAGUGGGAAGUGGGCCAUUUUCCAGUUCAAAGGGGAGGAAAAAUAAUAAUAAUAACAAAAGAAGGAAACUACAGGAACAAGAGGGCUCUCGCAGCUGCUUAGCAGCUACGCUCGGGCCCUAACUAGGGCCCCGUUGGGGCACUGGCGGGCCCGAGCCGUGUCGCGCCACCCCCAGCGCGACCGCCUCCCCCUCCUGAUCGAGUCACACUCAAGGUCCAAAGAUGGUGUGCGCACUUGUCUGUGGUCAUUUCCAUUAUAAUGAAUGGGACGCGCAGUUUCUACCAAAACGCUCGCUGCAGACAAACUCCAUGUCCUUUUUGAAAAAAGUCUGGACCAUGAGUGAGGGCACAAACACAGCUAGUAUAUAUCCAAAUGGCAAGGUGCUCCUCAUUUCGGUUUUGCCGAGAGAGCGAUGCGUUUGAGCCAUUGAGCGAUGGGCAGGAAAAACUUGACUUUUUCUCCUGCCAUGGGGGGGGGCCCUCAUUUGGGGAGAAAAAAUUCCUUCACAAAUGUGUUGAUGGCUGAACAUUGCAUCAUCCUAGAAAACUUGGAGGCCAGUGAGGACAAAAAUAAAGUUAUAAGACUUUUAAAAAUGUGGAUAUUUGGGUCCUCUUUGGCGCCCCCUAGAACGUAAACUGUGGGGUGCAGCGUCAUGAUUUUUACAACUCUGAAUGGCCAUGGGGUGUAGAUUGGCCUGAGCAAAUUUGGUGUCAGUGGAACGAAAGCCUUAGGAGGAGUUAGCCGCAUUCCAAUGUGUGCGGAUCGGCCAAAAAUGCGAAAUAGCCCUUUAACCGUACAUUUUACAGAUACGCGCACAUUGACUUUUUCGUAGAUCUUAUUGAGAUACACGUGAUUGUCAAAUUUUGUGUCAAUAUGACAAAGCGUACAGGCGUGACACUCAACAAUGUGUAUUUUCGCCUUAGGGGACAAGAAAAAAUGGACUUUUUUCUCCUGCCAUGGGGGGGGCGCUCUUUUGGCGAGUAAAAAUUCCUUCACAAAUGUGUUAAUUGCUGGACAUUGCAUCAUCCUAGAGAACUUGGAGGCCAGUGAGGACAAAAAUAAAAAGUUAUAAGACUUUUAAGACUGUGGAUUUUUGGGUUAUCUUUGGCGCCCCCUAGAACGUAAACCGUGGGGUGCAGCGUCAUGAUUUGUACAACUUUGAAUGGCCAUGGGGUGUAGAUUGGCCUGAGCAAAUGUGGUGCUGGUGGAACGAAAGCCUUCGGAGGAG